Molecule: ribosomal RNA, 1157 nt
Filed under: Salmonella enterica
Lineage: Bacteria; Pseudomonadati; Pseudomonadota; Gammaproteobacteria; Enterobacterales; Enterobacteriaceae
Also listed under: 1 other name
Description: partial 23S ribosomal RNA
Rfam family: Bacterial large subunit ribosomal RNA
Source: RNAcentral
GGGUUGUGAGGUUAAGCGACUAAGCGUACACGGUGGAUGCCCUGGCAGUCAGAGGCGAUGAAGGGCGUGCUAAUCUGCGAUAAGCGCCGGUAAGGUGAUAUGAACCGUUAUAACCGGCGAUACCCGAAUGGGGAAACCCAGUGUGAUUCGUCACACUAUCAUUAACUGAAUCCAUAGGUUAAUGAGGCGAACCGGGGGAACUGAAACAUCUAAGUACCCCGAGGAAAAGAAAUCAACCGAGAUUCCCCCAGUAGCGGCGAGCGAACGGGGAGGAGCCCAGAGCCUGAAUCAGCAUGUGUGUUAGUGGAAGCGUCUGGAAAGGCGCGCGAUACAGGGUGACAGCCCCGUACACAAAAGCGCAUGUGCUGUGAGCUCGAUGAGUAGGGCGGGACACGUGAUAUCCUGUCUGAAUAUGGGGGGACCAUCCUCCAAGGCUAAAUACUCCUGACUGACCGAUAGUGAACCAGUACCGUGAGGGAAAGGCGAAAAGAACCCCGGCGAGGGGAGUGAAAAAGAACCUGAAACCGUGUACGUACAAGCAGUGGGAGCACCCUUCGGGGUGUGACUGCGUACCUUUUGUAUAAUGGGUCAGCGACUUAUAUUCUGUAGCAAGGUUAACCGAAUAGGGGAGCCGGAGGGAAACCGAGUCUUAACCGGGCGUUAAGUUGCAGGGUAUAGACCCGAAACCCGGUGAUCUAGCCAUGGGCAGGUUGAAGGUUGGGUAACACUAACUGGAGGACCGAACCGACUAAUGUUGAAAAAUUAGCGGAUGACCUGUGGCUGGGGGUGAAAGGCCAAUCAAACCGGGAGAUAGCUGGUUCUCCCCGAAAGCUAUUUAGGUAGCGCCUCGUGAAUUCAUCUCCGGGGGUAGAGCACUGUUUCGGCUAGGGGGCCAUCCCGGCUUACCAACCCGAUGCAAACUGCGAAUACCGGAGAAUGUUAUCACGGGAGACACACGGCGGGUGCUAACGUCCGUCGUGAAGAGGGAAACAACCCAGACCGCCAGCUAAGGUCCCAAAGUCAUGGUUAAGUGGGAAACGAUGUGGGAAGGCCCAGACAGCCAGGAUGUUGGCUUAGAAGCAGCCAUCAUUUAAAGAAAGCGUAAUAGCUCACUGGUCGAGUCGGCCUGCGCGGAAGAUGUAACGGGGCUAAACCAU